RNAcentral lists this ribosomal RNA (561 nucleotides) under uncultured bacterium. RNAcentral describes it as "partial 16S ribosomal RNA". It matches the Rfam family "Bacterial small subunit ribosomal RNA", at positions 355 to 1375 of the family's 1533-position model. The record is from RNAcentral.
UGGGGAAUAUUGGACAAUGGGCGCAAGCCUGAUCCAGCCAUGCCGCGUGAGUGAUGAAGGCCUUAGGGUUGUAAAGCUCUUUCGCCGACGAAGAUAAUGACGGUAGUCGGAGAAGAAGCCCCGGCUAACUUCGUGCCAGCAGCCGCGGUAAUACGAAGGGGGCUAGCGUUGUUCGGAAUCACUGGGCGUAAAGCGCACGUAGGCGGAUUGUUAAGUCAGGGGUGAAAGCCUGGAGCUCAACUCCAGAACUGCCCUUGAUACUGGCAAUCUCGAGUCCGGAAGAGGUAAGUGGAACUGCGAGUGUAGAGGUGAAAUUCGUAGAUAUUCGCAAGAACACCAGUGGCGAAGGCGGCUUACUGGUCCGGUACUGACGCUGAGGUGCGAAAAGCGUGGGGAGCAAACAGGAUUAGAUACCCUGGUAGUCCACGCCGUAAACGAUGGAGGCUAGCCGUUGGCGAGCAUGCUCGUCAGUGGCGCAGCUAACGCAUUAAGCCUCCCGCCUGGGGAGUACGGUCGCAAGAUUAAAACUUAAAUGAAUUGACGGGGUCAUAGCUGUUUCCU